Molecule: ribosomal RNA, 496 nt
Filed under: uncultured bacterium
Lineage: Bacteria
Description: partial 16S ribosomal RNA
Rfam family: Bacterial small subunit ribosomal RNA
Source: RNAcentral
GAUGAACGCUGGCGGCGUGCCUAAUACAUGCAAGUCGAGCGAACAGAUGAGGAGCUUGCUCCUCUGACGUUAGCGGCGGACGGGUGAGUAACACGUGGAUAACCUACCUAUAAGACUGGGAUAACUUCGGGUAACCGGAGCUAAUACCGGAUAAUAUAUUGAACCGCAUGGUUCAAUAGUGAAAGACGGUUUUGCUGUCACUUAUAGAUGGAUCCGCGCCGCAUUAGCUAGUUGGUAAGGUAACGGCUUACCAAGGCAACGAUGCGUAGCCGACCUGAGAGGGGGAUCGGCUACACUGGAACUGAGACACGGUCCAGACCCCUACGGGAGGCAGCAGUAGGGAAUCUUCCGCAAUGGGCGAAAGCCUGACGGAGCAACGCCGCGUGAGUGAUGAAGGUCUUCGGAUCGUAAAACUCUGUUAUUAGGGAAGAACAAAUGUGUAAGUAACUAUGCACGUCUUGACGGUACCUAAUCAGAAAGCCACGGCUAACUACGU